CGGAGGAUCCAAGCGUUAUCCGGAUUCAUUGGGUUUAAAGGGUGCGUAGGCGGAAUGAUAAGUCAGUGGUGAAAUCCCUUCGCUUAACGAAGGAACGGCCAUUGAUACUGUCAAUCUUGAGUACAUUUGAUGUGGGCGGAAUGUGUCAUGUAGCGGUGAAAUGCUUAGAUAUGACACAGAACACCGAUUGCGAAGGCAGCUCACAAAACUGUAACUGACGCUGAGGCACGAAAGCGUGGGUAUCAAACAGGAUUAGAUACCCUGGCAGUCCACGCUGUAAACCAUGAUUACUCGAUGUUUGCGAUACACUGUAAGCGUCUAAGCGAAAGCGAUAAGUAAUCCACCUGGGGAGUACGCUCGCAAGAGUG
RNAcentral lists this ribosomal RNA (368 nucleotides) under uncultured organism. RNAcentral describes it as "bacterial SSU rRNA". It matches the Rfam family "Bacterial small subunit ribosomal RNA", at positions 526 to 896 of the family's 1533-position model. The record is from RNAcentral.